GUUCGGGUGGAGAAAUUGGUAUCUCACUUGGCUCUCAACCAAGAGACUGCGGGUUCGAUCCCCGUCCCGAAUGCCA
Molecule: transfer RNA, 76 nt
Filed under: Mycobacteroides abscessus subsp. abscessus
Lineage: Bacteria; Bacillati; Actinomycetota; Actinomycetes; Mycobacteriales; Mycobacteriaceae
Description: tRNA-Glu(ctc)
Rfam family: tRNA
About the family: Transfer RNA (tRNA) molecules are approximately 80 nucleotides in length. Their secondary structure includes four short double-helical elements and three loops (D, anti-codon, and T loops). Further hydrogen bonds mediate the characteristic L-shaped molecular structure. tRNAs have two regions of fundamental functional importance: the anti-codon, which is responsible for specific mRNA codon recognition, and the 3' end, to which the tRNAs corresponding amino acid is attached (by aminoacyl-tRNA synthetases). tRNAs cope with the degeneracy of the genetic code in two manners: having more than one tRNA (with a specific anti-codon) for a particular amino acid; and 'wobble' base-pairing, i.e. permitting non-standard base-pairing at the 3rd anti-codon position.
Source: RNAcentral